Molecule: transfer RNA, 76 nt
Filed under: Candidatus Mikella endobia
Lineage: Bacteria; Pseudomonadati; Pseudomonadota; Gammaproteobacteria; Enterobacterales; Enterobacteriaceae
Description: tRNA-Trp
Rfam family: tRNA
About the family: Transfer RNA (tRNA) molecules are approximately 80 nucleotides in length.
Source: RNAcentral
AGGGGCGUGAUUCAAUUGGUAGAAUACCGGUCUCCAAAACCGGGAGUUGGGAGUUCGAGUCUCUCCGCCCCUGCCA